GCGGAUGUGGUGCAGUUGGUAGCACGUCAGCUUCCCAAGCUGAAGAUCGCGGGUUCGAGCCCCGUCAUCCGCUCCA
This 76-nucleotide transfer RNA is filed under the name Actinobacteria bacterium ADurb.BinA094. RNAcentral describes it as "tRNA-Gly". It matches the Rfam family "tRNA". Rfam says of the family: Transfer RNA (tRNA) molecules are approximately 80 nucleotides in length. Their secondary structure includes four short double-helical elements and three loops (D, anti-codon, and T loops). Further hydrogen bonds mediate the characteristic L-shaped molecular structure. tRNAs have two regions of fundamental functional importance: the anti-codon, which is responsible for specific mRNA codon recognition, and the 3' end, to which the tRNAs corresponding amino acid is attached (by aminoacyl-tRNA synthetases). tRNAs cope with the degeneracy of the genetic code in two manners: having more than one tRNA (with a specific anti-codon) for a particular amino acid; and 'wobble' base-pairing, i.e. permitting non-standard base-pairing at the 3rd anti-codon position. Lineage: Bacteria; Bacillati; Actinomycetota. RNAcentral also lists the same sequence under 3 other names. The record is from RNAcentral.